GACGAACGCUGGCGGCGUGCUUAACACAUGCAAGUCGUACGGUAAGGCCCUUUCGGGGGUACACGAGUGGCGAACGGGUGAGUAACACGUGAGUAACCUGCCCACAACUUUGGGAUAACGCUAGGAAACUGGUGCUAAUACUGGAUAUGUGCUGCUGCUGCAUGGUGGGGGUUGGAAAGCUCCGGCGGUUGUGGAUGGACUCGCGGCCUAUCAGCUUGUUGGUGGGGUAGUGGCCUACCAAGGCGGCGACGGGUAGCCGGCCUGAGAGGGUGACCGGCCACAUUGGGACUGAGAUACGGCCCAGACUCCUACGGGAGGCAGCAGUGGGGAAUAUUGCACAAUGGGCGCAAGCCUGAUGCAGCAACGCCGCGUGCGGGAUGACGGCCUUCGGGUUGUAAACCGCUUUCAGCAGGGACGAAGCUUUUUGUGACGGUACCUGCAGAAGAAGCACCGGCUAACUACGUG
RNAcentral lists this ribosomal RNA (465 nucleotides) under uncultured bacterium. RNAcentral describes it as "partial 16S ribosomal RNA". It matches the Rfam family "Bacterial small subunit ribosomal RNA", at positions 28 to 507 of the family's 1533-position model. The record is from RNAcentral.